AGAGACAGCAUAGCCGCGGUAAUACAGAGGGUGCGAGCGUUAAUCGGAUUUACUGGGCGUAAAGCGUGCGUAGGCGGCUUCUUAAGUCGGAUGUGAAAUCCCUGAGCUUAACUUAGGAAUUGCAUUCGAUACUGGGAAGCUAGAGUAUGGGAGAGGAUGGUAGAAUUCCAGGUGUAGCGGUGAAAUGCGUAGAGAUCUGGAGGAAUACCGAUGGCGAAGGCAGCCAUCUGGCCUAAUACUGACGCUGAGGUACGAAAGCAUGGGGAGCAAACAGGAUUAGAUACCCCAGUAGUCCCUGUCUCUUAUACA
RNAcentral lists this ribosomal RNA (309 nucleotides) under uncultured bacterium. RNAcentral's name for it is "partial 16S ribosomal RNA". It matches the Rfam family "Bacterial small subunit ribosomal RNA", at positions 504 to 808 of the family's 1533-position model. The record is from RNAcentral.